CCUUCUCCUGCUAAAUAGCCCAGCCGGCUACGGCUAGCUGUUGGCUUCUUAGAGGGACUAUCGACGUUUAGUCGAUGGAAGUUGGAGGCAAUAACAGGUCUGUGAUGCCCUUAGAUGUUCUGGGCCGCACGCGCGCUACACUGACCGAGCCAGCGAGUCUAUCACCUUAUCCGGAAGGAUUGGGUAAUCUUGUGAAACUCGGUCGUGAUGGGGAUAGAGCAUUGCAAUUAUUGCUCUUCAACGAGGAAUUCCUAGUAAGCGUAUGUCAUCAGCAUGCGUUGAUUACGUCCCUGCCCUUUGUACACACCGCCCGUCGCUACUACCGAUUGAAUGGCUUAGUGAGGCGUUCGGAGAGCCUAUGAGAACCCGGCGACGGGAUUUCACUGGCUCAAAGUUCUACGAACUUGGUCAUUUAGAGGAAGUAAAAGUCG
Molecule: ribosomal RNA, 431 nt
Filed under: Platygloeales sp.
Lineage: Eukaryota; Fungi; Basidiomycota; Pucciniomycetes; Platygloeales
Description: SSU rRNA
Rfam family: Eukaryotic small subunit ribosomal RNA
Source: RNAcentral